AUACCCUUUCUUCAUUGACAGAGCUGUCAUUUAGGCUCAAAAGAGUGGCGAUGAUCAUGGACUUCAGGAGGAACCCCCCUGCAGUCCCCCCACUCACCAUCAUAAACAGCAGUGUGGCUACAGUGGAGUCAUUCAAAUUCCUGGGCACCACCAUCUCUCAGGACCUGAAGUGGGACAAUCACAUUGACUCCAUUGUUAAAAAGGCCCAGCAGAGGUUGUAUUUCCCUCACCAGCUGCUGAUACAGUUCUAUUCUGCAGUGAUUGAAUCCGUCCUCUGCACUUCAAUAACUGUCUGAUUCAGCUCAGCUACCAAAUCAGACCUCAGAAUAUUGCAGCGGAUAGUCCAGACUGCUGAGUGAAUUACUGGUACAUCCCUCCCCACUCUCCAAGAACUGCACUCAUCCAGAGUGAGUAAUAGAGCUGGCAAAAUCACUCUUGACCCCUCACACCCUGGCCACUUCCUCUUUGAACUGUUGCUGUCUAGUCGGAUACAGAGCAUUGAGCACCAGAACAGCCAGACAUAAGAACAGAUCCUUUCCUCAGGCAAUCCGUCUCAUGAACAGUUAACUUGGCAAUAAACGUGUAAUAAACAACAAUACUUGUACAUUUAUUUAUUUAAAAACACCAAACUUCUUAUUCAUGUUUCCUUGAAUUUGUACAUUUCAUACUUGCAUAUUUCAUACAUAUUUUCUAUUUGUAUAUUGUGCAUUUUUUUUAAAUAUUUGUUGUAUAUUAUUAUUUCCUAUUCUAUUUUUAUGAUCUGUGUCUUGUCACUGUAAUCUGUUUGUGCUGUGGAAGCUUCUGUUGCCAAACAAAUUCCUUGUAUGUGUAAACGUACCUGACAAUAAAGCUCUUUCUGAUUCAAAAAAAAAAAAAAAAAAAAAAGAGCUUUUGGAAGAUCUUGAGACGUUUCCAGUGAUGGACAUGGUCUCCUGAUCAUUAUCUUGAAGAGCAGUGGGGAGAAAUCGAAUCUCAUGAACAACCUGGAACCAGAGUGGAGAGAAUGGCAUGUGUCACGGAGGCGUUUUCUGUGUGGUGUUAGAUGCCCUGGAAGGUUUCGCUUCGGGUCCUCAUCCUCCUCCUGCUCUCUUGAAAUCCUGGAGGGCAUGAAGUGUGUGUGGCUGUGGUCUAUUGCAUUGAUUUUAUCAGGAAGUCCGCGCCUGUCAGGGACUUUGCCUCGUCAAAUUAGGCCUUUUGACAUAACGUCCACAUUAAAGCCGGCGUGUGGAAUAAACACAUCGUCAUCAUUCAGUGUGAGCUGUUACCUUCAGCAUGGAACGUUACCAGCAAUCAAUCUGCGGCAAAUUCAGAGCGAUGUACAAUCUCCAGAAACCACAGAGUCUUUUUGAUUCAUGUCCGCUGUGCACAGCAGAAGUACAUCUUUGUUUUAUUCAUAAUCACCUGAGCUUCCUGAUCAAAGACUCCCACAGUACCUCCGUCCACCCACUGAGUGUUCCUCUGUGAUUAAACGGGACCGCCUGCCCGUCACGCACCAUCCAGAACCCGCCAUAAUCUUUUCAUCAGGUGCUUCCUUCAUUUCAGUCUUCGUUAGUCGUCCUUGUGGGAAUUCUGCCUCUCUUUCUUCCCCCUCUUUUUCCUUCCAGGAUGAAAUGAAUGGGAAAUAAUAAAGCUUACAUACUGCUUUGAUGCUUCUACCUGAAUAAAUUCUCAUUUCCCACGGUCUCAGCACAUCGGUGGCUCACGGUGUUCCACAUCUCUGCUGACAUGAAAAAGGGAGCUGGCAAGGUUGGUGGCAUCUUCUGGUAUAAAGUAAGAUGUGACAGCUUAUCCGAGUUGAUAUUGAGACAGUUAUCCGAGUCCGUUUUGACAUCUUUCAUCAUUCAGGUUUAUUUCUACUUUCUUUUCACCACAUCCAUUGUUCUGUAGACUUAUGUGUCUUUCAUGCUACAGUGCUUUGUAGAAAACCUUCGAGCACAAGACAUUUUUUUUUUUUUUUAUAACUUCUAGGCUGUUGUUUAAAAUAUUUUAAGAGAUCAUUUAGAUCAUGUUGCUAUGCGGUUGCUAGGGUGUUCUGAAUGGUCUCCAUAAAAGUGCACAAGUGCCCACUUUUUCAGCAGCGUAGGUUCCUGAAGUAUUUUUCCAUUAAUUGUAAAAGUCUUUGCUAAAGCAUUUGAAGCCAUGAACCAAGUCAACUAGCUUUUUUGUAGUCUUUAACGUUUUCAUUAGUAACUGUAAUUCAAUUGAAUUUAACAGAUUACAGUUACAUUUAUUUUGUUAUUAAAUUAUGUAUAGCCAUUACAUGUGACUAGUCACUCUCCAACACUGCAAAU
Molecule: long non-coding RNA, 2291 nt
Organism: Cyprinus carpio carpio
Lineage: Eukaryota; Metazoa; Chordata; Actinopteri; Cypriniformes; Cyprinidae
Source: Ensembl